UACGAAGGGUGCUAGCGUUGCUCGGAAUCACUGGGCGUAAAGCGCACGUAGGCGGAUUGUUAAGUCGGGGGUGAAAUCCUGGAGCUCAACUCCAGAACUGCCUUCGAUACUGGCGAUCUUGAGUCCGGGAGAGGUGAGUGGAACUCCGAGUGUAGAGGUGAAAUUCGUAGAUAUUCGGAAGAACACCAGUGGCGAAGGCGGCUCACUGGCCCGGUACUGACGCUGAGGUGCGAAAGCGUGGGGAGCAAACAGG
This 253-nucleotide ribosomal RNA is filed under the name uncultured bacterium. RNAcentral describes it as "partial 16S ribosomal RNA". It matches the Rfam family "Bacterial small subunit ribosomal RNA", at positions 524 to 776 of the family's 1533-position model. The record is from RNAcentral.